UUUCUCCAUAGGUGCUGCAGAUGAUUACAAUAGAAUUGGUUCUUCAUUAUAUGCUUUAGGAACUCAGGAUUCUACAGAUAUAUGCAAAAAAUAGAAGCACGAGUGUCUGCUGAUGAAGACCUCAAACUUUCUGAUCUUUUAAAAUAUUACUUAAGAGAAUCUCAAGCUGCUAAGGUAAUUUUAAUCUUUUUUUAAAUGAGCCAUUUUACAAACAGCCAUUUCUUGAGUUUGUUAGACUUCAGAUUGUUAAUGAUGAUUUAUCUCCUUUAUAUGAUUUUAAAUUAUAUUUUCAAAUAUGAAUUCUAUUUCUCCUUUUAGAAAUUGUAUAUAUGUGUAUAA
This 339-nucleotide non-coding RNA is filed under the name Pan troglodytes (chimpanzee). Lineage: Eukaryota; Metazoa; Chordata; Mammalia; Primates; Hominidae. RNAcentral also lists the same sequence under 1 other name. The record is from RNAcentral.